Molecule: long non-coding RNA, 239 nt
Filed under: Setaria italica (foxtail millet)
Lineage: Eukaryota; Viridiplantae; Streptophyta; Magnoliopsida; Poales; Poaceae
Description: long non-coding RNA (SITA_LNC004387)
Source: RNAcentral
GACUACGCCUGACUGCAGUACGAGGCAAACAUGCUAUUUUCCAAUUUUUUCCUGCCGAAAGUGAGCUGUUCUUAUCUCGAAAACUAAAUAAUCAAGCAUUUCUCUUGCUUGGGAUGAUGGGAAGUCUACGAGCUGGAUUGAUUUGACGCGGCCAAAAAGUGCACGCUUCAAAUCAAUGCCUUUUUUUAGAUCGCUUCCAAUCAAUCGCUAUAGCACAAAUAUAUAUCCGUACAUAGUCC